UACGUAGGGUGCAAGCGUUGUCCGGAAUUAUUGGGCGUAAAGAGCUCGUAGGCGGUCUGUCACGUCGGCUGUGAAAACCCGGGGCUCAACCCCGGGCCUGCAGUCGAUACGGGCAGACUAGAGUGCGGUAGGGGAGACUGGAAUUCCUGGUGUAGCGGUGAAAUGCGCAGAUAUCAGGAGGAACACCAGUGGCGAAGGCGGCGAUCUGGGCAGAUACUGACGCUGAGGUGCGAAAGCGCGGGGAGCAAACAGG
Molecule: ribosomal RNA, 253 nt
Filed under: uncultured bacterium
Lineage: Bacteria
Description: partial 16S ribosomal RNA
Rfam family: Bacterial small subunit ribosomal RNA
Source: RNAcentral